GACGAACGCUGGCGGUGUGCUUCACACAUGCAAGUCGAACGAGGUAGCAAUACCUAGUGGCGGACGGGUGAGUAACGCGUGGGAAUCUGCCUUUAGAUGGGGGAUAACGGGUCGAAAGACUCGCUAAUACCGCAUAUGACGAAAGUUGAAAGGAGUAAUCCGUCUAAAGAUGAGCCCGCGUCCGAUUAGCUAGUUGGUAGAGUAAAAGCCUACCAAGGCGACGAUCGGUAGCUGGUCUGAGAGGAUGAUCAGCCACAAUGGGAACUAGAGACACGGCCCAUACUCCUACGGAGGCAGCAGUGGGGAAUUUUACGGCAAUGGGCGAAAGCCUGACGUAGCGACACCGCGUGAGCGAAGAAGCCC
RNAcentral lists this ribosomal RNA (363 nucleotides) under uncultured bacterium. Its description in RNAcentral is "bacterial SSU rRNA". It matches the Rfam family "Bacterial small subunit ribosomal RNA", at positions 28 to 416 of the family's 1533-position model. The record is from RNAcentral.